This is a non-coding RNA of Oryctolagus cuniculus (rabbit), 30962 nucleotides long. Lineage: Eukaryota; Metazoa; Chordata; Mammalia; Lagomorpha; Leporidae. The record is from RefSeq and is a predicted model, not a curated record.
AGAGGUCUUCCAUCCACUGGUUCACUCCCCAGUUGGCUGCAAUGGCUGGAGCUGCACCGAUCCGAAGCCAGGAGCUUCUCUGGGUCUCCCACGUGGGUGCAGGGACCCAAGCACCUGGGCAUCUUCUACUGCUUUCCCAGGUCAUAGCAGAGAGCUGGAUCGGAAGUGGAGCAGCGCCGGCCCCCAUCUGGUAUUUCUUACAGGUGUUUUUAAGUGUGGUAGGUAAAUUACAAAAUAAUUCCUGAUUUUUCAGUCACAGCUUUUAUGAUGAUCUUUAGAUACUAGCCCUUUGGAUACUGCCCAUAGUGUUGUGACUAAUGGGGUCAUUGUGGUCAGGCAAGAGCACCUGGUGAGCAUAUAUUAGCCUAGUAUUCUAUUCUCCUUGAGGGAGGACUCUAUGGAAAUUUUAAGGAUUCAUUUAUUUACUUGAAAGGGGGUGAGGGCCAUCUUCCAUCUGCUUGUUCACUCCUCAGAUGCCGGCAACAGUCAGGUCUGAGCCAGGCCUAAGCCAGGAGCCACCUGGGUGGCCAGAGUCCAUCUUUCUCUGCCUUCCACGCUCAUUGGCAGGAAGCUGACUUGGAGACAAAGCAGCGGGACUGUAACUGGUGCUCUGAUACCAGUGGCAUCGUGGUGACUUAACCCACUGUGCCACAAUGCUAGUCCCCUAAAUGACCACGUUUGGGUUAAGGAGAGCCUAUCAAAAUGUUUGUUGUCUAACUUGUGCUUUUUCAACUGAGUUUUGAAUUAGUGAACAUUGAUUUCAGAGUUCAGCUUUAGAAGCAGUCAGUUGGUGUUUAUUUGUUCACUCCCACAACCUCCCACCACACGCAUCUUUUUCUUCACUCCCCUGAAGCUGCGUGAGGCCGUAGGGUACACGGCCUGCUCUCGUUCAUCCUGGGGAUUGCGUUGCCGAGCCUGUGGCCCUGAGGUGUCUGUCCACACUUCACAAUAGCAGUGGUCUGUGCAUUUAACUGAAAGGUGGAGACAGGCAGUGAGAGAGCUUCCAUCUGCUGGUUCCCUUCCUAAUGCACAACAGCUGGAGCCGGGUCAGGCCAAAGCCAGGUCCCCCGCGUGGGUGGCAGGGACCCACUGCUGAACCACUGGGUGCGCAUUAGCAGGAAGCCUGCAGUGGGACAGAGCUGGGACCUGGACGUAGGUCCUGUGCUGUGGGGUGCUGGUACCCCACGCAGUGCCUUAGCGGCUGCACUGAACAGCUACUCCUUGUGUUUUGUCCACUCCUUGCUCACCUUGGAAAACCCGAUGCAUGGUUUAUUUUUUCUCUCAUUUUUGACUCUGGCAUCAAGAAUGCAGCUUCGGCAGCAGUGUCUGCGAGACAGACAGAUUUCAUAGAUUACUUCUUUUCUGCCAAAACAGUUUUUCUUUUGCAUUAUUUGAAGUUAAUGUUACCAAAAAUUAAGCCCAUUUAGAGGAAUUAUGGUUUUAAUCCAAAUGAUAGAAAGUGGGAAGCUAUUUCUAUGGAAAAUAAAAAUCUGUGUCACUUGGAACUAGGUUGCGUUAGUUAACGUGGGGGGGGGGGUGGCAAUAAGCCUCGCUGGGUGGUGGGAGCAGAGUGGGAGUGGGAGAUAACUGUCUCCGGAGCCAGUUCAGCCACUUCCUGUUCUCUGCAAACCUUGGCUGGGAAGCAGUCUCCCUCCCUUGGCCCCUCUGUGCACUGUGUCUUUCUUAGGGCUCUUUAGCGUGUGGCGGGACAGAGUGUUGUGAGCCCCUGAACAUGCACCUGCUCUGUGAUUAGCAUAUGCGGAACCUCAGAGAGUUUGUGGAAAAAAUGAUUGAAAGAUAUUUAUUUGGUACAAAAAACUUUUUAAGUACUCUUAUAUAUGUUUUAUUUCAUUAUUUGGUUAGAAGAGUAAUAUUUUUUCUUCUUUGUGUGUGUGUGUAUAAGAUGUAUUCAUUUAUUUGAAAGGCAGGGAAAGACAGGGAGAGAGAAUCCACUGGUUCUCUCCAGAUGCCCACAGCUGGGUCAGGCCAAAGCCAGGGAGCUGGGAGCUCCAUCCGGGUCUCCCACAUGGCGGCAGGAGCCCAAGUACUUGGGCCUCAUUGUCUCCUUGGCACAUUAGCUGAAGUUGGGUUGGAAACAUGGAGUAGCUGGGACUUGAACUGGGCCAUCUGAUAUGGGACACGGGUUCCCAAAUGUUGCUACAAUGCCUGCCUCACUUCUUGGCUUUUGUGUUGUAAUUUACAGAAGAGAUAUGUUAAAUAACUGAGAUUAGUAGAGAGGUAUAUAGAUAAGGGAAAAAAUAGGUGGGGAGGGUAGAACUCUUGUUUUAGUAACAUAAGCAGUUUAAUUAAUGUUAGGGAGCCAGCACCCUGGGGUAGCGGGUCAAGCAGCUGCCUGAGCUGCCAGCAUUCCAUAUGGGCGCUGGUUCAUAUCCCAGUUGCUCUCCACUUCUGAGCCGGCUCCCUGCUAAUGACCUGGAAAAGCAGCGGAAGAUGGUCCCAGUGCUUGGGCCCCUGUCACCCAUGUGGGAGACCCAAAUGAAGCUCCUGGCCUCUGGCUUUGACCUGGUCCAAUUCUGGUCAUUGAGGUCACUUGAAGAGUGACCCAGUGGAUGGGAGACCUCUCUCUGUCUUUCCUUCUUUUUCUGUAACUCUUUUAAAUAAUGAAAUAAAUAUUUUUAAGAAAGUCAUAACUUUAGUGAACAUAUGUUACCUAACUUUAAUGUAUCCAUAGUGAAAAUGUCUAUCCAAAAACUGCCUCUUGAAUUUAUCCCCUAAGUUAAUCUAUUUUUUUUGAAAGUUCUAUUUAUUUUCACUACAUUUGAAAGAUAGAGAACUCCCAUCUGCUGUUUCCCUCCCCCAAGGGCUGGGGCCGGGCCAAGCCAGGGCUGGGACCCUGGAGCUCAUUCCGGAUCUCCCACGUGGUGUCAGGGACCCUGCGGCGUGAGCGUGCUGCCUCCUCCCAGAAUGUGCAUCAGCAGGAGGCUGGAUCAGAAAGAGAGGAGCCAGGACUGCAACAUCAGAAAGAGAGGAGCCAGGACUCCAACGAGGCACCCGGAUGUGGGGCACAAGCAUCCCAGGCAGCAUGCUAACGGAGUUUAUUACUGCAUUCACUAGUCCUAGGCAUGGCCCGCUGCUGCGUGACGUUUGUGUCACACCUGGGCUUACAGGUCUUGGGUAGGUUUCUAGCCUUGCCAGGGUGAAUUCUUAGUUUCCUAAAGUACCUGACAUCAAACCAGCCUCCUUCCUAACUUCCCUUGUGUAAACUUCUCUGGUCUGUGGACUCCUUUGGUGACCUCACACAGUCCUGUGACUUUUAAUGCCACCAGGGACAGUUAUUGUGUCACAGCUCUGGAACUCUGCCUGGGGUGCCAGCAUCCCACACCCCAGUGCCUGAUCUGGCUUCCUGCUAAGGUGCACCCUGGGAGUCGGCAGCUGAUGGCUCAAGUAUUUGGGUCUCUGACAACCCACGUUGGGAUACCCAUAUGGGGUUCUGGGCUCCUUGGUUCCGCCUAGCCCAGACCCUGCUGUUGCAGGCAUUUGGGGAGUGAGCCAGUUUUCUCUCUCUCCCUCCCUCACUUGCCCCGACCCUGCAUGCACACGCACUCUGCUUUCAAACAAAUAAAAAUUAUUUAAAAUGCCGUAUACAUAUACUGAAACUCAUGAGUUUUUAUAAUCAACCUGGACCGCUCCCUAGGCUCAGCAUCGCGUGGCCAGUUCCUGUUCCGCAUUUUAGGGGGCUGUUCAGUGGCAUUUCCACUCUGUCCGUGCCCCACAUCUGUGCUUGCACCGCUCUCUUUACCAAAGCACAGCCAUCCUUACGGUUGUUACAGUCAAGAUCUUGGUCUCACUUGAUGUUCAUAUUUCUCUACAUGUACAGUCCAUCAGGAAUUAAAGAAGGGAUUCCUGAGUAACCCACAGGUCAAAGAAGAGCUCACAGGGAAAAUUAGAAAAUGACUUGAAUGGAAUUAGAAAAGAGAGCAUAUCAAAAUUCAUGUGAUGUAGCUGAACUGGACUAGAGGAGGGAAGUGUAGCACUGUUAGAAAAGGAGAAAGAUCUUGGGGCUGGCGCUGUGUAGUGGGUUAAGCGUCUGCCUGUGGCGUCAGCAUCUGGUAUGGGUGCCAGUUCUAGUCCCGGCUGCUCCACUUUGAUCCAGCUCCCUGCUGAUGGCCUGGGAGAGCAGUGGAAGAUGGCCCAAGUGUUUGGGCCCCUGCAACCAAGUGGGAAACCUGGAAGAAGCGCCUGGCUCCUGGCUUUGGAUCGGCACAUCUCUGGCUGUUGAGGCAUUUGAGGGGUGAACCAGUGGACGGAAUACCAACCUCUCUUAUCUCUCCCUCUUUAUGUCUGUGACUCUGCCUCUCAAAUAAAUAAAUAAAUCUUUUAAAAAAGAAAAAGAAAAGGAGAAAGAUCUCAAAUCAUUCACUUAAGCUGCUGUUUUAUGAAUCCAAAAAUGGAAGAACGAAACUAUAUCAAGGAAAGAAAGGAAAUGAAGGUGAAGGUGGAAAUCAAUGAAAGAAAUAUAAAAACAGGCCGGCGCCGCAGCUCACUAGGCUAAUCCUCUGCCUGCGGCGCCGGCACCCUAGGUUCUAGUCCCAGUUGGGGUGCCGGUUCUGUCUUCUUCCAGGCCAGCUCUCUGCUGUGGCCUGGGAGGGCAGUGGAGGAUGGCCCAAGUGCUUGGGCCCUGCACCCCAUGGGAGACCAGGAGAAGCACCUGGCUCCUGGCUUCGGAUCGGUGCAGCUCACCAGCCGUAGCAGCCAUUUGGGGGGUGAACCAAUGGAAAAGGAAGACCUUUCUGUUUCUCUCUCUCUCUCUCUAACUCUGCCUGUCCAAAAAAAAAUAAAUAAAUAAAUAAAAAGUUUUAAAAAAUAUAAAAACAGCUGAUCAAUCAAACCAAAAGCUGGUGAAUUGCUCGACUGACCAAGACAGAAGUCACAAACCCCAAAUCAAGACUGGAAGAGGUCCCGCCAUGCUGCUCUGGCUGGAGGUCUUUGGUUCUUAAAAAAAAAAAAAAGACUGAAAGAGAACCUGACUGCUGAUUUUUUUUUUUUUUUGACAGGCGGAGUGGACAGUGAGAGAGACAGAGAGAAAGGUCUUCCUUUUCUGUUGGUUCACCCCCCCAAUGGCCGCUGCAGCCAGUGCACCGCGCUGAUCUGAAGCCAGGAGCCAGGUGCUUCUCCUGGUCUCCCAUGGGGUGCAGGGCCCAAGGGCCUGAGCCAUCCUCCACUGCCCUCCGGGGCCACAGCAGAGAGCUGGCCUGGAAGAGGAGCAACCAGAACAGAACUGGCACCCCGACCGGGACUAGAACCCAGUGUGCCGGCGCCACAAGCGGAGGAUUAGCCUAGUGAGCCACGGCGCCAGCCCUGACUGCUGAUCUUAAAGAAACUAAAGUAGAUACUAUAAACAUUAUGCCAACAAAUUAGAUAAUUUAGGUCGAAUUACAGAUUCUUAGAUAAAUUACCGAAACUGACCCUAGAAAAAUAGAAAAUUUUUGUGGGAAUUGGAUGAGUAACUUAAAGUCUUCCCACAGAGAGAAGCUCAGGGCAUCUGGUCUUCAUUGGUGAAUCCUGUCAACCAUUCAAAGACCAUCACAGACAGUUCUAGAAAAUACAGGAGGUGGGAACACAUCCUAUCUGAUUGUAUGAGGCCUGUUACCAGGGCGCCAAAGCCAAAGCCAUCCCAAGACCAUAACCUGUAGUCCAGUAUCCCUUCAGAAUACAGAAGCAAACAUGUUCAAUAAAAUAAUAGGGGGCCAAGUCCAGCAUCAUAGAAAAAGGAUUCUAUAGCUUGACCAGGUGGGAUUUAUCCCGGAACUGGAAGAUUGGAUUAACAUCUUAAAAUCUUAAUGUAACAAAAUCUAGUGUGGUGGCACAGCGGGUUAAACUGCCGCUCUCAACAUCACCCUCCCAUAUCAGAGCUCUGGUUUGCGUUCCAGCCGCUCUGUUUCUGAUCCAGCUCUGGCUAAUGUGGGCGGGGGGGGGCAGGGAAUGGAGGCCCAGGUGGUCAGAGCCCUGCCAUCCUCGUGGGAGACCCAGCUAGAUCGCUGACUCUUGACUUUAGCCCGGACCAGACCCAGCCGUUGCAGCCACUAGAGGAGUAAACCAGCAGAAGGAAGAUCCCCCCCCCAAAUAAAAAAAUCUUUAAAAAAAGAAAGAUAUAAAAUCUGUUCAUUUAGUUUGCUAUAGUAAUAAAGCACACAGCCACGUGAUCAUCAGCUCAGUAGACGCAAAAGAAGCAAACUCAGCAUAGCAGAUGCACUUGUGGGAGGGAGUGUCUUCCACUGAUAGGGAUAUAGAUGGAAACAUGCAGAACACAUAGGCUAGUUUCAUUUCUAAAAAAUUUAUUUAUUUGAAAGGCAGAGUGGCAGAGAGGCAGAGGCAAAAAGAGAGAGGUCUUCCAUCCUCUGGUUCACUCCCCAACUGACCACAACGACCGGAGCUGCGCUGAUCUGAAGCCAGGAGCCAGGAGCUUCUUCCAGGUCUCCCACGUGGGUGCAGGGGCCCAAGGACUUGGGCCAUCUUCCACUGCUUCCCCAGGCCAUAGCAGGGAGCUGGAUCUGAAAUGGAGCAGCCAUGACUGGAUCCAGUGCCCAUAUGGGACGCCAGCACUGCAGACAGCGGCUUUACCUGAUAUGCCACAGCCAGCCCCAAGUAGGUUAAUUUCAUACUUAAGGAUGAACCACUCAAUACCUCCUCUUAAAAUUGAGAAUAAGGAAAGAAAGUAAGUUACCUUCGAUUCAACAUUGUACUGGAAUUGAAGGCCUGUGCAAUCUGCUAAGAAAAAUAAUUUUAGAAAAGUAUCUAUGGGGCCAGUGCUGUGGUACAGUAGGUUAAUCCUCCGCCUAUGGCGCCAGCAUCCCAUGUGGGUGCCAGUUCUAGUCCCGGCUGCUCCUCUUCCAAUCCAGCUCUCUGCUGUGGCCUGGGAAAGCAGUAGAAGAUGGCCCAAGUGCUUGGGCCCCUGCACCCACAUGGGAAACCCAGAAGAAGCUCCUGGCUCCUGGCUUCAGAUCGGUGCUCGCUCUCUCUCUCUCUCUCUCUCUACCUAUAACUCUGCCUCUCAAAUAAACAAAUAAAAUAUUUUUUUAAAAUAGCAUCUAGCUAUCUAGAGUAGGAACAAGUAAACUAUCAUUAUCCAUAGAUGACAUGUCCAAGAUGUAGAAAACCCUAAGAAACACACACACACAAAAUACUAGAACUGCUAAACAAGUUCAGUGAGGUUGCAGGUACAAGCCCAAUAUUCAGACAUUAUCUGCGGGGUGGUACUGUGGUGCAGCAGGACGCCCUCAUCCGACACCAGGAUGCCUGGGUUGAGUCCCAGCUACCCCGCACUUCCAAUCCAUCUUUCUGCUAAUGGACCCGGGAGGCAGUAGAUGAUGGCCCAAGUACUUGGAUUCCUGCCACCCACAUGGGAGUUCCUGGAUGGAGUUCCUGGCUCAAGGCUUCAGCCUGGCCUCACCCUAGCUGUUGGGGAGUGAACCAGUAGGUGAAAGAUCUCUUGAGUAUGGGGUUGGCACCACGGUGCAGGGAGUUAAAGCCCUGGCCUGCAGUGCCGGCAUCCCAUAUGGGUGCAGGUUCAAAUCCCGGCUGUUCCACUUCUGAUCCAGCUCCCUGCUAAUGCACAUGAGGGAGUACAAGCUGGCCCACAUGCUUGGGCCCCUGCACCCACAUGGAAAACCUGGAAGAGGCUCCUGGCUCCUGGCACCUGGCUUCGGAUCAGCUCCGCUCCGCUGUUGAGGCAGCCAUCUGGGGAGUGAACCAGUGAAUGGAAGACCUCUCUCUGUCUCUUCCUCCCUCUGUCUGUAACACUGCCUCUCAAAUAAAUAAAGUUUUUUUCAAAAAAAUAAAAAAUAAAAGAUUGUAUGGGAGUAUGUAUCUUUUUUCUGUCACUUUGUCUUUCAAGUAAUUAUUUCCAAAAAAUCAUGUACAUUUCCAUUUAUUUGCGGAAAAUGAUUUGAAAAUGAAAUUAAGAAAACUGGCUCAUUCACUGUAGCAGCAAAAGGAACUAAAUAUUUGUUUCUGAAUUUAACAGAAGUGAAGCAUGUUUGCACUGAAAACUGCAACCCAGAGCUGGGGUAGAAAAGACGCAGGCCAUGCCGUUGGGAGGCGUAGCCGCUUCCCCCAGACGACCUGUAGUCAGUGGGCUGUCAGAAUCCCUUACGGCUUUCCCCCAGAAAUUGGUAAGCUGAUUCUAAAGUUUGUAUAGGUAUUCAAAAGACUUAAAAUAACCAAAACAAUUUGACAAAUAAGAAAGUUAAAAGAGGGGCCGGCGCUGUGGCGAAGUAGGUUAAUCCUCCGCCUGCGGUGCCAGCAUCCCAUGUGGGCACCAGUUCUAGUCCCAGCUGCUCCUCUUUCCAUCCAGCUCUCUGCAGUGGCCUGGGAAAGCAAUGGAAAAUGGCUCAAGUCCCUGGGCCCCUGCACGCAUGUGGGAGACCAGAGGAGGCUCCUGGCUUCUGGCUUUGGAUCGGUGCAGCUCCAGCUGUUGGGGCCAUUUGGGGAGUGAACCAAAGGAUGGAAGACCUCUCUCUCUGUCUCUCCUUCUCACUGUGAUUCUCUCAAAUAAAUAAAAUCUUAAAAAAAAAAAAAAAAGUUAAAAGAAGGACUUGAAAUUCCCAUUUAAGAACAUGUUAUAAAACUGAAAUAAUGAAGACAUUGUAGUACUGCUUAAGGAGACAAACAGGUCAGAAUUGAGUGUUCCAGACCAAACCUUUAUGUUGGUGGUGAAUCGGUUUUUGAAAAAGUUGCCAGGGCCGGUACUGUAGCGCAGCGGGUUAAUGCCCUGUCCGGAAGCACCGGCAUCACAUAUGGGUGCUGGUUCAAGACCCAGCUGCUCCUCUUCCGAUCCAGCUCUCUGCGGUGGCCUGGGAAAGCAGUGGAAGAUGACCCAAGUGCUUGGGAACCUGCACCCACGUGGGAGACCCCGAGGAAGCUCCUGACUCCUGGCUUCAGAUCAGCACAGCUCCAGCUAUUGCAGCCAUCUGGGGAGUGAACCAGCAGAUGGAAGACCUCUCUCUCUCUCUCUCUCUCUCUCUCUCUCUCUCUCUGUGUAACUCUGACUUUCAAAUAAAAUCUUUAAAAAAAAAAAAAAGAAAAAGUUGCCAAGGCAGACUGGCGGGGAAAGUAUAAUCUUUCCAAUAAAUGGUGCUAGGACAAUUGGACUUCUGCAUGCAAGUGUGUUCCCAAGAAUGAAUCUUAUCUAAAAUUCAUAACGAUUUAAAAUUCACAGUUCUGUAGAGUUCCCAGAAAAGAGAUGGGUUGUGAUUUACUGAAAUCAGACCAUUGUGGGCCUUAGAGAAAACCAGGACUGUGCUUUCCAGCGUAGGAAAUGGGGAAAGGAGAGACAACUUGUAAAACAGAUUAGUAGGCCGGCGCCGCGGCUCACUAGGCUAAUCCUCCGCCUAGCGGCGCCGGCACACCGGGUUCUAGUCCCGGUCGGGGCGCCGGAUUCUGUCCCCGUUGCCCCUCUUCCAGGCCAGCUCUCUGCUGUGGCCAGGGAGUGCAGUGGAGGAUGGCCCAGGUGCUUGGGCCCUGCACCCCAUGGGAGACCAGGAGAAGCACCUGGCUCCUGCCAUCGGAUCAGCACGGUACACCGGCCGUGGCGGCCAUUGGAGGGUGAACCAACAGCAAAGGAAGACCUUUCUCUCUGUCUCUCUCUCUCACUGUCCACUCUGCCUGUCAAAAAAUAAAAAAAAAUAAAAAUAAAAAAAACAGAUUAGUAGACGUGUUUAUAAAAUUCAUGUUGCCAGAGAAAGGCAAAUUCUAGAAACCAGCUUAAAAAAAAAAAAAAAAACCAGAACACUUGACUUGGCGAAACUGAAACGAUGCUAAGGAGGCCCAGAAAAUCCGUCUCCACUGAUCUGAUGCUGAUGGCGUGAAAGUGGGCACAGAGAUGGGAACGAGGCUUGUCAGAAGACCUAGUUACUCUGGAAUCCUGGUGAGAUGCGUUUUGGCAUCUGUGUCCGUAAGCCGCACAUGCUAAGGCACAGCACUCAGCAGAUGUUGGUGUGUAUGGGCUGUGGCGCCACUGCAGCAGCAGGGGAGUGAGCGCGCCCGGGCUUAAUUCUGAAGCGCGCUUUAUUGAGGGAGGGCGAGGCAGUGCAGUAGAAGGGGAAAGAGGUAGCAUUUUUAAAGUGGGACACCACAGAGAUGGUGGUGGAGAGAAGGGGGUUCUUCCCUGGUACUUUUCCUGGAAAGACCAUUACAUUUAACAACUUCUAAAAUAUUUGUCAUUCUAGUAGGAAGACAGUCAGCUCUUAAAUACUGUUUAAUCAUUUGUCACCACAGUUAGGAUGCUGGUUGGGAUCCCUGCAUCCCAAAUCGGAGCGCCUGAGUUCUAAUCCCGGCUGCACUCCGGGUUCCUGGUUCCAGCGUCCUGCUCAUGAGCGCCUUGGGACGCAGCAGGGCGGCCAGAUAGCUGGGUCUCUGCCACCCCCUGGGGAUUGGCGGUCAGGAGACUUCUCCGUCUCGCCAUCUUUCAAGUAAACGUUUAAAAAAUAUGUUUUAUUUGUUUGAAAGACAUAGUGACAUGAGAGUUCUUCCACCUGCUGAUUCAUUUCACAAGUGCCUUCAACAGCCAGGGCUGUGCCAGGCCAAAGCCUGGAGCCCAGAUUGCAUCCGGGUCUCCCACACUGGGGCAGGGACCCAGGUGCUUGCGCCAUCACCUGCGUCCUCCCAGGUGUGCACCAGUAGGAGGCUGGAUCAGAAGCAGAGGUGGGCGCUCUCAUGGAAUGCAGGCGUCCCACACAGCAUCUCAGCACUGUGCAGCAACGCCGCCCUCGAAAUGUUUUAAAAAUUAAUUCAGAAUUAAUAUUACUUAAGCUUUUCCCUCUUUUGAGUAAAGUUGGUACAUUUGAAAAAAUACAGGAAAGCAUUGGGGUUAUGAAACUUACAGACUUUAUAGGCAAGUUUCAGCAACAAAAAUGGGAACCAACACAUGAUUUCUGUCUUUAUUUUUUAAAAAAGAUUUAUUUAUUUGAAAGGCAGAGUGACAGAGAAAAGGAGGGAGGGUGGGAGGCAGGGAGAGAAACCGUGAAACCUUCCAUCCGCUGGUUUACUCCCCAGUGGCUGCAGCGGCCAGGCUGAGCCAAGAAGCCAAGAGUCAAGAACUCCACCUGGAUCUCCCACGUGCGUUGGCGGGGCCCAGGCGCUUGGGCCAUCUUCCAUUGCUCUCCCAGGCUGGAACAAAAGCUGAGCAGUCGGGACACACAGCGAUGUUCUGAUAGCGGGAUUGCGGGCAGCAUCCUAACCCUGCAUCACAGCCCCACCCCCCACCCCACUGCCAUCUUUUAAUCUUGACAAGACGACAUUUCGGUGAAAACCACCACCAUCUACUUGUAUCGUUCCUUUAAAGAGCAUUCUCACACAAAGUGGAAGAUAAAAUGAGUAAAUUUAACUGAAAAAAUGUACUUUUAUCAUCCUUACAUUAAAAAAAAAAAGAUUUAUUUGAAAGGCAGAGUUACAGAGAAGCAGAGAGAGAGAGAGAGAGAGAGAGAGGUCUUCCAUCCACUGGUUCACUCCCCAGUUGGCCUCAUCGGCCGGAGCUGCACUGAUCAGAAGCCAGGAGCUUCUUCCAGGUCUCCCACGUGGGUGCAGGGGCCCAAGCAUGUGGGCCAUCUUCUACUGCUUUCCCAGGCCAUAGCAGAGAGCUGGAUUGGAAGUGGAGCAGCUGGGGCGUGAACCGGUGCCCACAGGGGAUGCCCGCACUGCAGGCGGCGCCCUUACCUGCUACACCACAGAGCUGGCCCCGUCAUCUUUACUUUCCUCAUGAUAUCACUGGUAGCCAGGCUGUGAGGACCGCUGCUGUAAGUGUAGUCCUAGAAGCUCUCAGAGUCGGGGUAGGUGUCUUGGAUUCGCCACCCCUUCUCUGAGUUUUGCUCAGCUCCCACAGGCUUCCUGUAAGGACAAAAUGAGAGACUGGAUAAGCUGUUCACUUCUCAGACACGCGCUGUCUUCCUUAUACUCAGCAAAUGUGCAGCCUGCUCCUCACUGUCACACGCUUGCUCGGUAAUUAACUGUAUUACCGUGUUGCUCGUCACUGUGAUUUCAGAGGAGUGACUCCAGUCUAGAGAGUGCCGUUGCUUUCUGUCGUAGAUAGAACGGUAAUUGCUUCGGUGUGAUUGUAAGGUGGGGGAAGCAGGUCGUUUUAUCCUGAAAACAGCCAUAAAUGCUGCUAUAUUAAAUUGUUGCUUGAACAAAAGGUGUGGGACGGCAGUUGCUUUUGUAUUCUUUGUAAAGAGAAGCAGGAUUUGUUCUUUGAUGACCAGAUUGUCCCUCUGAUUUCUGAAUUUCCCUGAGAAGCCUCAGCCAGAGUUCCAGCACUGCUUACAAACCUCUCUGUGACGUGGGCUGCAGCCUUGUCAUCGCUGCAGGCAGUCACUCAGGUAAAGCUUGUACCUGGCGAGAUCGGAUACCGACGAAACAUAGUUACUUAGUCACUUUGUAAAGUUCCCCCUCCCUCCAUUUUAAAGAUAUGUUAAAAAGAAAAAAGAAUAGAAUGCUUACAGGUUUCUGCUUGACAUACAAAUUGUGUGAAUGAUUGUAGGACAGGUAUCCCGGGUAGGAUCUAAUGGUACUUAGAUUUUUCUACCCUUUGUAAUGAUUCUGUGUACAUUUUCUUUCUAGUACUAGGUUACAGACUCCUUGAGAACAAGAUUCAUGUUGAAUUUAUCUUUUAUGAAACUUGGUUUAUUGAUUUAUACAUGGAGAACACUCAGCCCAUAGUGCUUGGUUGAUUGAAAACUAAUCUUCAUGUACAUUAGAUUUCUAUGCUGAUUUCUGCUGACAUCAGUUCUCCAAAGUUUGGUGAGAAUGGGAUGAUGAAGAAAAUACAGUGAACACGGGCGGUGCCGCGGCUCAAUAGGCUAAUCCUCCGCUUACGGCGCCGGCACCCCAGGUUCUAGUCCCGGUCGGGGCGCCAGAUUCUGUCCUGGUUGCCCCUCUUCCAGUCUAGCUCUCUGCUGUGGCCCGGGAAGGCAGUGGAGGAUGGCCCAAGUGCUUGGGCCCUGUACCCCAUGGGAGACCAGGAUAAACACCUGGCUCCUGGCUUCGGAUCAGCGCAGUGCGCUGGCUGCAGCAGCCAUUGGAGGGUGAACCAACGGCAAAGGCAGACCUUUCUCUCUGUCUCUCUCUCUCUCACUGUCCACUCUGCCUGUCAAAAAAAAAAAAAAUACAGUGAACAAUAAUAUCCCAUUUUCAGUUCCAUUAAUAGUUUUCCCAGACUUCCAGAGCCUAAUUUUAUUUAUUUAUUUAUUUAUUUGUUUAUGUGUGUGUGUGUUUGAAAGACAGAGGUAGAGAGAAAGAGAGAGAUAUCUUCUGUUUGCUGGUUCACUCCAGCUGGGCCAGGCUGAAAGCAGGAGCUAGGAGCUUCUUCAGGGUCUCCACAUGGGUGCAGGGGCCCGAGCACUUGGGUCAUCUGCUGCUGUUUUCCCAGUAGCAUUAGCAGGGAGCUGGACUAGAAGUGGAGCAGCCAGGACUGAAACUGGUGCCAACACUGCAGGCCGAGGCUUAACCUUCUACGCCACAGUGCUGGCCCCUAAUUUUAUUUCUGAACAGAUUUUUUUUUUUUUUUUUUUUUUUUUUUUGGAAAGCAUAGUUUCAGAGAGAUUGAUCUUUCAUCCACCAGUUCACCAAUUCACUCCCCAAAUAGCCAAAAGAUCUGGGCCUGGCAUGGCCAAAGCCAGGGGCCCAAGCACUUGGGCCAUCUUCUGCUGCUUUCUAGCAAGGAGAUGGAUUGGAAGCAGAGCAGCCACGACUGGGCCCAGGACUCCAGUAUGCGAGCGGGAGGUGGCGUACCCCACUGUGCCACGAUGCCGGCCCCUAGUGUCUAAUUUUAAAAUCAGGGGUAAUGAAAAGCAGUUCCUUGUCUCAGAGACAGUAGAUAUUUAUUAUGAUACAGUACAAAGCAGAAAGCCCAACUUGUUAGGUUAAAGGAAGCCAACAUUUAUUGGCCCCGACUUUGUGUUAGGACGGUGUCUUUGAAGCAGUCGCAGGUUCCUUUGAGAACCCAGAAAGCCUGAGCAUAAUAAGAAGACAUCUUGGUUAUAUAAAAUUUACCUGCAAAUAACUUCUCCUUUUCAAAUGUUUAUACCUUUUAUAUUGUGUAAAUUGCCUUAGAACUUAAACAAGAGGGAUAGCUAUACAAUUUUUUAUGAAGCUAGCACAAUUAUGAAACCAAAAACAUGAAAGUGACAGGAAGAAAGCCAGCUUUAGGUUUUUGUCAGAUAAUGUGAGCGUCUUGGAUGAUUUGUCAGAAAGUGUGACUCAUUGGUACUGAUAUUUAUGAAGUUUAUUUCUAAAGAGAGCUGGAGACGAGUGCAGCAGCAUAUUAAAGCGAUAGAGUCUAGACCCAGUGAGUUCAUGCUGUUAACGUCCAACACUGUAGUAGACGGAGAAAGAGGAUUCCUGAGAUUACCCCAGUUGCUAUCUGGAAAGUCAUCCAGUCAAAUUUAGUAUUUUUGGACUCCUGCUUCUGGCCAAGCCAGACUGCUGACCAACGCUGUCACCAAGAACUAAAAAUUUUAGGAAGAUGAUAAAAAAAAAAAAAAAAAAAAAAGGCAACAUUUGAAGACGUUGGAUGCCAGCAGGGCUUUAAGGAUUUUGAGGGGCCCAGUUCCUGGAGAGAAGGGAGGCUGAAGAGAUGGGAUCAGCACUGGUGCACGGGAGCCAGCCGGGGCGUUGCAGCCCAGGCGCUGUGCCGAGGGCUGAGCAGAGAGAGUGGGGCUCUCAGCGGAGUUGGAGAGUUCAGGGGUAACAAGGGGGCAAUGACCCCGGUGGGAACACCCCUCCCCAAGAGGAAGAAACACGACUUUUUGCCCUAGGCACAUGGUGAACCUAAAGAUGAUUCUGAAAUCCAGCCCUCACAGAAAUAGACUUCAUUUUGAAUCAGCUGAUGCAAAUUAAAGCUGGGGGAGGCGUUUGGCACAGGGGUGACUGCUGCCUGGGAAUCCUGCCCCCAGAUUGGACUGCUGGCUCCUCCUCCAAUUCCAGCUUCCCUCUACUGCACCCUCUGAGGCAGCCAGGGAUGGCCCCACCCCUUGGGCCCCUGCCACCCACGUGAGAGACCCAGAUUGAGUUCCUGGCUCCUGGCUUUGGCCUGGCCCAGCCCCGGCAGUUACAGGCAUUUUGGCAAGUGAACCAGCAGAGGGGGGAGUCAGGCACUGUGAGCGUCUCUCUCGUGAGCAGCUGGCUUCGCCGGAGGGCUCGUCAGGCACAGGCACAGGCGACUCCUCCCUGUCUCUGUGCGUCCACAGGUGACGCAGGGGAGCUCUGUGACACUCUCACUCUCUGUAACUCUGCCUUUCAAAUACAUGAACCAGUCUUUAAAAACAAGUCAGUGAAGGCACAGCGGCGAGGUCCAGCCUGCUGUUCAAGACGCCCGUGUCUGGUACCUGAGUGCCUGCUAACAUGACCCGCAGAAGCAGUGGUAGUGGCUCAAGUGGUUCGGACCCUGCCAUGCACGUGGGACACCUGGGCUGAGGCCCCCUCUGUGCUUCAGCCCAGUCCUGCAUGUUGUACUGUGGAGGACGGGUCACUCUACGACUGUGUGUCUGUCUGUCUCUCUCUCUCUCUCUCUCUCUCCACACCUCUCAAGUUAAAAAAAUAAAAAAAUAACCACCUUUGCUGGCUAACAAAUCUGUGUUCAGAUGACUGCUGUGGUUUCUAAUUCUUGACUACUACGAUUGCUAAGACUCCUCCUAACAACAAUAUUUAUCUACUUAAAUAUUACCCUCUAGGUCCAGGCCAACUGAAUAAGACAGAUGUGUGGGUUUUCCAUUUGCUGUAUGACGGGUCACCACAACCUUGGAGAUUCAAAAAGCAGAUAAUGUUAGUCCACAGUCUGCAGGCCGGAGGCUGGCGUGGGGUGACUGGGUGUCUGUCUGUGACGCUGAACAGCCGGGGUCAAGGUGUGAGCAGGCUCUGUGGAAGAAUCAGCUUCCCAGCUUGUUUGCAGACCCCAGCUCUUGGCCGGCUGCCGGUGGAGCGGCUCUCAGCGCCUUGACGCAGCUGCGCUCCGUGCUUCCUGCUCGUCGUCUCCAAACCAGCAGCUGUGUGCCCACGCUUUCUUAGGCUUCAGCUUUCGAGACCAUCUCUCUCCGACCUCUAAGCUGAGAUUUAAGGUCACCAAGCCUACCUGGAUGGUGUAUCUGACUUGGGAUUUGAGUUACAUAUUUUAAAAUACCUUCAAAACAGUACCUGAAUUUGUUUGAUUGAAUAUGCGGGAGAGGGUAUGUUGACUGUGGACUUGGACUCUUGGAGGGGUCUUAGAAUUGUGCCUGCUGGGGCCUGGCGCUGUGAUGUCGCGGGUAAAGCUGCUGCCUGGGACUCUGCUGCCCCACGUGGGGUGUUCCUGCUGCUCCAGUUCCAAUCCGUCUCCCUGAUAAUGGCCUGGGAAGCAAUGGAAGAUGGCCCAUGUAUUGGGACCUGUGCACCCACAUGGGAAACGCAGAUAAAACUCCUGGCUCCUGACUUCAGCUUGGCCCUGAGCUGGCCAUUGUGGCCAUCUGGGGAGUAAACCAGCAAAUGGAAGAUUCUCUCUCUCUCUCUGUAACUCUGACUUUCAAAAUAAAUGAAUAAAUCUUAAAAGGGGGGGGGGGGGCAGCACUGUAGCGCAGUGGGUGAACACCCUGGCCUGAAGUACUGGUAUCCCACAUGGGUGCUGUUCGAGACCCGGCUGCUCUACUUCUGAUCCAGCUCCCUGCUGUGGCCUGGGAAAGCAGAAGAUGGCUCAAGUCCUCAGGCCCCUGCACCCACGUGGGAGACCCAGAUGGAGCUCCUGGCUCCUGCCUCUAGCCUGGUCCAGCCCUGGCUGUUGGGUGCAUGUGGGGAGCGAACCAGCAGAUGGAAGAUCUUUCUCUGUUUCUCUUCCUCUCUGUCACUCUUUCAAGUAAAUAAAUAGAUAAAUCUUUUAAAAAUUAAUUUGUAGGUUUAAAACAAUUAUAAUUUUUAAAAACAUUUUUUCUUUUAGAACAAAUAAUGACUCAUUUCAUCCAGAAGGGUGAGGACAAUCGGGAGAAAACUUUUGAGGUGAUGAAAGGAAACUGGUGGUGGCAGAAUUCUGAGACUUCAAUGCUUGAAGCUUCUUCCAGGUCUCCCACGUGGGUGCAGGGGCCCAAGGACUUGGGCCAUCCUCCACUGCUUUCCCAGGCCAUAGCAGAGAGCUGGAUUGGAAGAGGAGCAGCCGGACUCCACUGGUGCCCAUAUAGGAUGCCGGUGCUGCAGGGGGAAGAUUAGCCCAUGACACCAUAGCGCCAGCCCUGAAUAUUAAAUUUUAUAAAAAUAAUUAUUUCAGGGGCCGGUGCCAUGGCUCACUUGGUUAAUCCUCCACCUGCGGUGCUGGCAUCCCAUAUGGGUGCCGGAUUCUAAUCUAGGCUGCUCCUCUUCCAGUCCAGCUCUCUGCUGUGGCCUGAAACACAUUUCGCACGUUUUACAUCUCCAGAAUUGCUGUUUGCCUUACAUCCAGUGGGACGCGUAUAGCAGGGCGUGAUCGGCAGCAUUUCUUUCUUAGUGAUGCACAGAAGCACUGUGCGUCGUCUGUCUGAGGCGUCUUAGGUUGGGUAGAAUGCAGUGCUUUGUAGCAGGUCCACCUGGAAGGGCCGCUGUGUAGCUGUGCCGCGCCGUCGUCCUGCAGGAAUGGAGGUCCUUCUGCGGCUGCGUAGGCAGUUGGUGCCGCCUUCUCCUUUGAGAAGCCCUACCCAAGUGCUUCUGGUCAUGCUCCGUGGAGUCCAAGCUUAUGUAUCAUUCGGUCACCUAACACACAAGCUCAGAUGUGUGUGUAUACGCAUCGCUUUGUUUCAGAAGAGUCACCCUGUAUUGGGGACGUCUGCAGAAGCGGGCCGGUGCCCCGGCCCAGAGUCGCCAUUAGCCCCAGAACGCAUCCUCAUCUUCCUGCGGGAAGAAGCUUCACUGAGUGCAUCUGGAGCCCUCUCCCAGCCUCCCUGUGUGGGGCCGUGGGUGAGGGAAGACCCUGCAGACCUCCCAGAUCCCUGUGUGGGGCCGUGGGUGUGAGGGAGACCCUGCAGACCUCCCAGCCUCCCUGUGUGGGGCCGUGGGUGUGAGGGAGACCCUGCAGACCUCCCAGCCUCCCUGUGUGGGGCCGUGGGUGUGAGGGAGACCCUGCAGACCUCCCAGCCUCCCUGUGUGGGGCCGUGGGUGUGAGGGAGACCCUGCAGACCUCCCAGCCUCCCUGUGUGGGGCCGUGGGUGUGAGGGAAGACCCUGCAGACCUCCCAGCCUCCCUGUGUGGGGCCGUGGGUGUGAGGGAGACCCUGCAGACCUCCCAGCCUCCCUGUGUGGGGCCGUGGGUGUGAGGGAGACCCUGCAGACCUCCCAGCCUCCCUGUGUGGGGCCGUGGGUGAGGGAAGACCCUGCAGACCUCCCAGCCUCCCUGUGUGGGGCCGUGGGUGAGGGAAGACCUUGCAGACCUCCCAGCCUCCCUGUGUGGGGCCGUGGGUGUGAGGGAGACCCUGCAGACCUCCCAGCCUCCCUGUGUGGGGCCGUGGGCGUGAGGAAGAACCUGCAGACCUUCCAGCCGUGGACUGGAGAGGCGGGAGGGCGGCCGGCGGGAGGGCGCUUAAGCCACCAGCUGAGAUGUACUCGUUCCAUCCGAGUGUCUGGACUCGAGCCCCAGCUCUGCCCCGCUUCUGUCUUGCUGCUGACGCACACCCUUCGAGGAGCAGAUGACGGCUCAGGUCGUUGGGUUCCUGCCACUCAUGUGAGAGACCUGGAAUGAGUGUUAGAUGCCCAGCUCCAGCCCAGCCCUGGCCCUUACAGGCAUUCGGGGAGGGAGCCAGCAGGUAGGAGCACUCUUGUAUCUGUCUGUCUCCCCCCAUCCUACUCCCUCCCUCCCUCCCUCCCUUUCAAAUAAAUAAAAGUAAAAUGUAAAAGAAAUUUAAAGGCUUUUUAAAAUAUGUAUUUGUUUAUUUGAGAAGCAGAGUUACAGAGGGAGAGACAGAGAGGUCUUCCGUCCGCUGGUUCACUCCCCAAAUGGCUGCAACAACUGGAGCUGGGCCAAUGCAAAGCCAGGAGCCAGGAGCUCCUUCCCAGUCUCCCACGCAGGUACAGGGUCCAAGCACUUGGGCCAUCUUCUGCUCUUCCAAGCCACUAGGGAGCUGGAUUGAAGGUGGAGCAGCCAUAUGGGAUGCUGGUGCCACAGCCCCGGCCCCAAGAGCAUGCACUCUUUGGGGGUGCUGUGUAGUAUGGCGGAUGCGGUGAGUGACAUUUGACUGACAGUUCAGUCACUGUGUGAGCACAUGUGGCCUUGAAGGCUCAGGUGGUGUCCAUUCCAACAAGGUUGCUUUGAGGAGUGACUGAGAUCAUGGAUCUCAAUGAUCUGCACAGCCCAGUGCCUAGUAAGUUACAGUUCUUGCUGCCCUUGGGUUUUCCAGAGACUGCGUAACUCGAUGCUGGCUGCUUGCUUGUAUGUGUUUCCACUGGAACUUGGUAUUUAUGGAGGAUUCUUUGAUUGUCUAAGUUUUGUCUUUGGAUUAAGCAAGACCAUCAGAAACCUUCACACUUGGACUGUCUCUGGCUGUCCAGAGAACUGCUGAGUUUUCCCAUCGGGCUUUUUGACUCGCAGGAGGCUGCGAGAGCGCGUCUAGUAAAGCCGCCACUGCAGAUUUGAGGGCCUCAGCGUCGCUGUCUGGGCAAGAGCGCGUCGCCUGUGCAUCCGCCGCUCUGAGGACGGAGGCUGUCGUGAGGGUGAUCUGGUAAACUGCUAGUUGCUUCCCCGAUAGGGCAGAUUGUAAGUCAGUGCCCUACACGUAUGAACCCGUUACUAGACCUGAUUCUGCUCAAGUCUUGGGAGAGGUAAACUCUAGGUGUAAUAUUGUAAGAAAUCAGGGUAGGCAUUGUGGCGUAGUGGCUAAGCUGCUGCUUGGAGAGCCUGGGUCAAGCCCCGGCUCCUCUCGUUCCCACCCGGCUCCCGGCUGAUGCGCCCUGGGAGGCAGCAGUGAGGGCGCAAGCACUUGGGCCCCUGCACCCACGUGGCAGACACAGAUGGGGUUCAUGACUGCUGGCUUCAGCCUGGCCCAGCCCUGCUGUUGCCACCAUCGGAGGAGUAAGCCAGAGAUGGAAAGUCGAUCAACUGAUCUCUCUCUCUCUCUCUCUCUCUCUCUCUCUGCCUUUAAAUAAAAUGAAAACAAAUAAAAAUUUAGAAAACAAAUCAAUCAAAAUGAUGGCAGUUAGCAGGAUGUACUUUAUGACAGUCUUAGGAAACAUUUGCUUUUUGAAAUUGGUGCCUGGACAUGGGGCAUGCAGUACAUACAGCCUACACACUGUGAGUAUUACAGUUGUUCAAAGGGGCCGGUGCUGUGGCGUAGCGGGUAAAGCCGCCGCCUGCAGUGCCAGCAUCCCAUAUGGUGCCGGUUCGAGUCCCGGCUGCUCCACUUCCCAUCCAGCUCUCUGCUGUGGCCUGGGAAAGCAGUGGAAGAUGGUGCAAGUUCUUGGGCCCCUGCACCUGCGUGGGAGACCCGGAAGAAGCUCCUGGCUUUGGAUCAGCGCAGCUCCAGCCAUUGUGGCCAACUGGGGAGUGAACCAGUGAAUUGGAAGACCCCUCUGUCUGUCUCUCUGUCUCUGUCUCUCUCUCUCUGCCUCUUCUCUCUCUGUGUAACUCUGACUUUAAAAUAAAUAAAUAAUUUUUUUUUAAAAAACAAGUUGUUAAAAGGCGGGAAGUAGCUUAAAAAGUAGAAAGGGCAGUUUGUGACUCUAAAGGGGCGGGAUGGGGGGGGGGGGUUCCGCGGCCCAGCGGUUGGUGUGCUGUUCCUGAUUGCUGAGGGAGGGGCUAGCUCCUGAGCCUAAUUGUGUCAUAACAGUGCAGCCCAUAACAGCAUAACAGGACACUUUUCUCUAAUCAAGUAGUUCCUCCAGGAUUUCUGUCGGGACUUUUUUUUUCUUUUUUUUGCAAUCUAAACUUGGUAUAGGUUUGAAAAUAAAAUUUUUCUAUAAUUUGUAUUUUUCAGAUAAGUUUUCUUCCUCAAUGCUGAAAUAAGAGUUUUCAUAUUUCACAUUUUUAUGAGACAUAUCAACAAACCUCUUAGUAUCUGUGUGUUUUUCCUGCAACAAUAUAAUUUGUCAAAUUUUUUUCUAUUUAGGUCAACAUUUGAGUGCUUUAUCAGCUUAUUACUCUAAUAUGUACAUUUUUUUAAAAAGAUUGAUUUAUUUAUUUGAAAGGCAAGGUGAUAGGCAAAGAGUCAACCAUCUGCUGGUUCACUCCCCAAACACCCACAACAGCCAGGGCUGGCAAGCCAGAGCCAGGAGCUCCACCUGGAUCUCCCCUGGGUGGCAGGAACCCAACUACUUGGGCAGUUGUCUGCACUCCCAGUUGCAUUAGCAUAAAACUGAAUGGAAGGUGGAGGUAGGGCUCAAACCCAGGCACUCUGAUGUGGAAUGCAGGCAUCCCAGAUCACUACACACCCCGGCACCUCAGCACGAACCCUUGAAGCAGCCUCUCCCCUUAUCCUUGCGUGAAACCCCGGGCUUCACAGAUGUCUUGGGGCCAAGGGGCGAGUGGAUGAUGGUGUCAGGAGGCUCUGCCCAGCCCUGGCACACAUGCCUGUUCUACAUUAGAUCGCAGCUUUGGGCAUGCGUUAGCGUAGUGGCUCCUGGAGCUGAGCCCACUCCGCUGACCGUGCUUCCAGCUCGCAGAAUCACAGAGACUGAAGGAAGCGUGACAGAGACCCUCUGCAGCCCAGCUCUCACCCUGCUGGGCCCCAGGCCCUUCCCUCACCUCAGGGGCUAGUCACUGCUCAGCGUGCAUGCUGCUGGCACGCCGUCCUUUUUCCUUCAUGACCAUCUCUCAAGUUGCCCCAGUACUCUAAAGCUGGUGGAAUGUAAAGCUGUCGUGAAGGUAAAAGAAAGUACUGUUGGGGCCGGCACUGUGGUGCAGCAGGCAGAGCUGCCGCCUGCAGCGUCGGCAUCCCACGUGGGUGGUUCAAGUCCCAGCUGCUCCACUUCCGAUCCAGCUCCCUGCUAUGGCCUGGGAAAGCAAUAGAGGAUGGUCCAAGUUCUUGGGCCCCUGCACCCACGUGGGAGACCUGGAGGAGGCUGCUGGCUCCUGGCUUUGGAUUGGCUCAGCUCUAGCCAUUGUGGCCAUUUGGGGAGUGAACCAGCAGAUGGAAGACCUAUCUCAUUCCCUACCUCUCUCUGUAACUGUCUUUCAAAUAAAAAAAAAAUCUUAAAAAAAAAACAAACAUCAUUUGUGGGCCAUACAAAAUCACCAGUUUGAAGACUGGCCUGUUGGAGAUUUGGUGAAUUCUGAGUCCCACCUGCAGCUGCCGUGGCAGGGCCAGGCCAGGUGAUUUGUGGGCCGUGUGUAGCUGUGACGUUCCCCGCCCCUCAGGCACAUCUAUGAAUUGUAUUUAUGCUUGUGUGACAGUAUUAAGCAGUCUCCAUUUUACUGGCAGAUUUGAAAGAGGCUCUAAUGUUAGUGUCCUCACGCAGGAGAGCGAGCCUGUGCAGUAGUGAGAAUGGGGAGAGUUUGCUACGAAGAAUCCCUGGAGUGGGCAUUUGGCACAGCCAUUAAGAGGCCGCUUGGGAUGCCUGCAUCCCCAACACAGUGCCUAGGUUCAAGCUUCGUCGUCUUCUUUUUUUUUUUUUUUAGUUAAUUAAUUUAUUUGAAAGAGUUACAAAGAGAGAGAGAGAGAGAUCUUCCAUCUCCCCAAUUGGCCACUCUGCAAUUGGCCACAACGGCUAGAGCUGAGCCAUUCUUGAGGCCAGGAGCCGGGAGCUUCUUCCAGGUCUCCCACAUGGGUGCAGGGGCCCAAGCACUUGGGUCAUCUUCCACUGCUUUCCCAGGCCACAGCAGAGAUCUGGAUGGGAAGUGGAGUAGCCGGGUCUCGAACCUGCGCCCAUAUGGGAUGCCGGCGCUUCAGGCCAGGGCUUUGACCCGCUGCACCACAGCGCCAGCCCCAGAACUUCUGCUUCUAAUCCAGCUUCCUGCUGCAGCACAACCUGGGAGGCGCAGGCAAUGCUCAAUUACCUGGGUCCCUGCCGCCCACAUGGGAGACCAGCCUGAGCCCCAGCUCCUGGCUUUGGCCUGGCCCGGCCCUGGCUGUUGACCGGCAUUUGAGGAGUGAACCAGUGGGUGGGGGAUCUCUGACUCUGUCUCUGUCCAUCUGACUCUCUCCAUGUCUGUCCCUCUGCCCUGAUGAAUCAAACAAUAAAUGCGUAAAUGAUUGUUUUAAUUAUUAACUGUAACAAGGACUUAGAGUAAUAAGGGACUGGUUAGUGAGAAGCAAAGGAAACAGGAGAUUAUAGCAAUAGCAGAAAUAAGGUGCAUUCCUGCCCAGGCCCAGAGGGAGCACCCAAAGACAGCCUCCAAGGCUAAGGCCCGGGCCGCACGGGAGCCGCCACAGCCGUGGCUCAGGGGGCGGCAGGGAAGCUGCUGUGGUGCUGUGUAGACAGAGCUCGCUGGGAACCCUUCAGCUGUAGUGGAAGUGUCCAGCCAGGUGCCACCUGCCCAGGCCUGCCUGGCCCAAAAACCCUUCUCCUGCAUGCCUCUCCAGUGCCCUCUGCUGAGAGAGCAGUGUGCUGGCAAGCAAAAAUUGUUAAAGGUCUUAGGUGGAUUUUACAGAACUGGUAAACCGUGAAGUCUGGCGCCAAGAGGCAGUAAAUCAAUAAGCAGCGCCCCUCCGCCACCUCCAGCUUCAUCAGUUGCUGCAAGUGGACACUGAGGGGGAAACAGUGCACUGCCUGCUUUCACAUUCUGUAGCGAAGAAUGGAAUCUUCGUCACUGUCAACCACUCGGCGUGUCCACUAGGACAGCUGCGUCUGUGCCACGGCGUGUCCGCUAGGACAGCUGUGUCUGUGCCACGGCGUGUCCCCGCUAGGACAGCUGUGUCUGUGCUACAGCGUGUCCCCACUAGGGCAGCUGUGUCUGUGCCAUGACGUGUCCCCGCUAGGACAGCUGUGUCUGUGCCACGGUGUGUCCCCGCUAGGACAGCUGUGUCUGUGCCACGGCGUGUCCCCGCUAGGACAGCUGUGUCUGUGCCACAGCGUGUCCCCGCUAGGGCAGCUGGGUCUGUGUCACGGAGUGUCCACUAGGACAGCUGUGUCUGUGCCACGGCUUGUCCACUAGGACAGCUGUGUCUGUGCCAUGACGUGUCCGCUAGGACAGCUGUGUCUGUGCCACAGCGUGUCCACUAGGACAGCUGUGUCUGUGCCACAGCGUGUCCCCGCUAGGACAGCUGUGUCUGUGCCACGGCGUGUCCCCGCUAGGACAGCUGUGUCUGUGCCACGGCGUGUCCCCGCUAGGACAGCUGUGUCUGUGCCACGGCGUGUCCCCGCUAGGACAGCUGUGUCUAUGCCACGGCAUGUCCCCACUAGGACAGCUGGGUCUGUGCCACGGCGUGUCCCCACUAGGACAGCUGGGUCUGUGCCACAGCGUGUCCCCACUAGGACAGCCGGGUCUGUGCCAUGGCAUGUCCGCUAGGACAGCCGGGUCUGUGCCACGGCGUGUCCGCUAGGACAGCCGGGUCUGUGCCACGGCGUGUCCGCUAGGACAGCCGGGUCUGUGCCACGGCGUGUCCGCUAGGACAGCCGUGUCUGUGCCACGGCGUGUCCUCUAGGACAGCUGUGUCUGUGCCACGGCGUGUCCGCUAGGACAGCUGUGCCUGAGAGCCAGCUGGAAAUUUUCUUCUGCUCUGUGAAGCAUUUUCACAGAAUGUGUAUUCACAUGCGAUUAUAUAAUUGACUGUGGAAAUGGAGUGUUAUUAAAGUUCUGCUGUUGGGGCAGCUAUUAGGUAAAGCAGUUAAGAUGCUGCCUGAAACACCCACGUUCCCUAGCAGAGUGCCUGGUUCUAGUCUGGCUCUGGUUCUAGUCGCAGCCUCCUGGUAGUGCACACCCAGGGAGUCAGAGUGAUGGCUCAAGUAGUUAAGUCCCUGCCAUCCACAGGGGAGGCCCAAAUGGAGUGAUUGUUCCUGGCUUUGGCCUGGCCCAGCCCCUGCUGUUGUGGGCAUUUGGGGAGAGAACCAGCAGAUGGAAGAUCUGUCUGUCUCUGUAUGUAUAUCUCUCUCCACUUUUCAGAUGAAAAGGAAAAGAAAUAAUUCUAAAUCAAAGAACUACACUUGUGAGGCCGGCGCUGUGGCACAUUAGGUUAAUCCUCCGCCUGCAGUGCUAGCAUCCCAUAUGGGUGCCGGUUCGAGUCCUGGCUGCCCCUCUUCCAAUCCAGCUCUCUGCUGUGGCCUGGGAAAGCAAUAGAACCUGGCCCAAGUCCUUGGGCCCCUGCAUCCAUGUAAGAGACCUGGAAGAAGCUCCUGGCCCCUGGCCUUGGAUCAGCACAGCUCUGGCCAUUGUGGCCAUCUAGGGAAUGAACCAGUGGACUGAAGACCUCUCUGUCUCUCCCUCUUUAAAAAAAGAACUAUACUUGUAAUGAACAUGCUAAUAGUUAUGCUAAAGUAAUUUUAUAGUGAUAAGAUAUUUAUUCAACCCAAUUAGUUUUUUUUUAAAUUUUAUUAUUAUUAUUUUUUUUUUUUUGACAGGCAGAGUGGACAGUGAGAGAGAGAGACAGAGAGAAAGGUCUUCCUUUUGCCGUUGGUUCACCCUCCAAUGGCCGCCGCGGCCAGCGCGCUGCGGCCGGCGCACCGCGCUGAUCCGAUAGCAGGAGCCAGGAGCCAGGUGCUUUUCCUGGUCUCCCAUGGGGUGCAGGGCCCAAGCACCUGGGCCAUCCUCCACUGCACUCCCUGGCCACAGUAGAGAGCUGACCUGGAAGAGGGGCAACCGGGACAGAAUCCGGCGCCCCAACCAGGACUAGAACCCUGUGUGCUGGCGCCGCUAGGCAGAGGAUUAGCCUAGUGAGCCGCGGCGCCGGCCACAACCCAAUUAGUUUUAAGACAAGUUGUAAUUAAGUAGUUCUGCAGCAGUCAGUACUAACCUUCCCUGAGUAAGCCUGGGUAGAUUGUUGAUAAGCUGUAUUUGUCAGGAUUCUUUGGUUACAGGCAGUGAGAGGAGCUGUAUGGUUUCGGGGUGUGGGGUUGUAAGUGAUGUAAGGGGGCCGACAGAGCUGGAGGAGACACUGAAGACCAGAACAGGGACCUACAGCGUCCUGCAGCCUAGGCAGCAAGCGCUGCUGGCGGGUGUGCAGGCGGACAGUCAGUGCCACAGACGUGCUGCAGCUGCUGCCACUCCAGGGCAGGGCUCGGGUUCCAGGGCGCUGGGGCUGGCCUGGCGUGAACCAUGCUCAGCCCUGGCCCAGAGAGGGCAAGGGGUCGCGGUAGCAGGCUGCAGAAAUGACCCUUCUGCACUCAAAGGUCAUGGAGUCGUAGUCCUUGUCUCCUUUUCUUAGCUUCUGUUUCUUGGUGGCUUCAUUUUCAGACUCUCUCUGGUUGAGAGAUGGCCACGGCAAUGCCCAGCGCUCUGGUUCUGUGGAGUUCACGGCCGGUGUCGUCUGGCACUUGGGGCUCUUCAGUGAGCCGCGUGAUGCAUCCCUGGUGCUGCUGCCUCUGGAAGCCCUGGGCUGCGAGGGCGGGAGGUGGCACCCGACAGGAUGGGUGGAGGAGGCCGGGCGGCACAGGGGGUCUUAGCAACCUGCGCCAGCACUAAGAGGAAAACGUGACAGGGCGCCUCCUCAGACCUCUGCGUCCUUCAGCACCCUUCCCAAAGGAAGAUCCCUGUUAGGUUCAGAGCACAAGUCGGCCUCGCCUUCUGCAGGCAAGGGUUCCAGCGUCAGUGGCCCGCGUGUGCACUGCUAGGGAGUUGGUAUGAGAGCUGGGGCAGGGGCGGGGAGGGCUGAGGUCGUAGUUGAGUUCUCAGAGCCCCAGCUCUGCUCUGUGGGGCCUUGACCCAGGCAUGCAGAACUCAGAGAGGACCCCUCAGUGGUGGAGGCUCGUGCCUAGGAUUGCCGGUCUCCUUGGAGUCUCCGCAUGCUGCCUAGCUCACAGGAGCCUCUGGGGAGAACAGUGGACCCUCACUCGGCUUUUCCUGCCUGUGCCACCACGUCACGCCUCGCCCCAGCCCAGCACAGCUCUGGCUGCAGCCCCACCCGCUGGCCAAAGCUUCAAGAAAAAGGGAAGACUGGGGAAAUUCAUUCUCGUCCGAAGUUUGCUCUCCCCAGUCUGCCUACUUGUGUUUAUUUUUUAUUUAUGUUUUUCGAAUUUAUAUUGUACUUUGUCCAAUUUUGGGGUUGAGGCAAAUCAGUGGGAGAGAGUGGCUGUAGGGGGCUCACCCCACCGUGGCCAGCACCCAGAGUCCCAAGUGAUGACCUGUGUCAACCUUCCAUCCUGCAUACCAUAGAUAGUAUGUCACGGUGUCUGCGUCAGGAGGCUGAGCUUAGCUGGGUCCCCUUCAAGGCCUGCACCUGUGGGACAGGGCAGCAUCCAGGCUGCCCCAGGCCAGUGGCCAAGCUUAGUUCUUUGCAGUUGGAUUGACAGCUGAUGUCUUCAAAGCCACGGCCAAGAAGGAGGCUAUAAAGCAGCCUGCCAGAAGGGAGUCUUUAAAAGGGGAAAAAAAAAAAAAGUGUGUUUAUUUAUUUUGAAAGGUUUAGAGACAGAGAGGGAUCUUCCAUCCACUGGUUCACUCCCCAGUGGCUGCAGCAGCCGGUCCAACACUUGGGCCAUUUUCCCACUGCUUUUCCCAGGCCGUUAGCAGAACUGGAUUGGAAGUGGAGCAGCCGAGACACAAACCAGCACCCGUGUGGGGUGCCAGCGGGGGCUUUGCCCCUGCAGCACAGCGCCAGCCCCUGGGAAGGGGUCCUAAGGGAGUGGCAUUCAUCUUGGCCAUCUCGCAAUGGUUAGAAGCAGAGCACCCAAGGUGUGUGAGCAUCAGAGGACCUUGGAGUCCAUCAGCCAUCUCACCUCUGGUCCUCAACCCCAGACUCCACGUGGCGGGUGGGAAAUAAUCACUGGACCGGCCCUGCCUCCUGGGAAUCUGGACUCGGGAGCCAGGACAGGGUCAGCGCCAGGCACCGCUAGAUGAGCCCUGGGCGUCCUGCUUGGCCUCUGCACUGCCUGGCCAAAUGGCUGCCUGCACUGAGCGCUCUCCAAGGUGGAUGUGUGUGGUCUCACAGAGACCCCUGAGAAUGCCCCAGGAGGCUGUUGGCUUGUUCAUCUGAGGAGAGACUGUGGGUGGUGGAGAAGGAGGGACCUGACUUUUCUUUGUGGCCUUUUGUACGUAUUUUUCUUCAUGUAUUUUUUUGUACAUGUAUUUAAUUUUGCAAAGUAAAAAUAGGACUAGAUGUUGAUUUUUAAAUUUUAUUGGCGAACAAUAGAAAACCUGUGCAUUAGGAGUUAGAAGUAAAAAGAUUACUGCUAGCCAGGAGAAGACUGGAUAAAGCCGUAUCAAAGGGCAGAUGUCGGAAGUACGCUUUGUCGCGUCAGCCUGAGCAGAGGCGGGGAAGUGUCGGUUCUCGUGGCGGCAAGAACUCUGCUCCCAGCACCGACUGUACCAUCACAGCAAAAUCUUAACGCCGCUGAGGGAGUCGCGGCUCUGAUUCAUUUAAUUUGCUGAUUAAAGAGAAUUAAAAUCAUUUUUAUUCUUAUUGAGUACCUUUUUAAAUUUACUAUCUGAAGGCAGUGGGAUGGCCUCGUUGUGCUGUGGGUUGAGGAAGUGCAGUGGCACUGUGACCUGGCUUCCCCUGGCGUGUGGCAGAACUGUCAUUCACACGGGCUCCUGCGCCUGUGGCCUGCCCUCUGCACCUGUAACCUGAAAACAUUCCCGAAAGCUCCAUGUGUCUUCUCAGGUAAAGCGCAGUCUCUUUCCCGCUUGACAGUUCUCGUCGGCCUUGGCUGAACACUGGAGUCUGGAAGCCUGAGUCCCACUCCCAGGGCGCGCACUGGAGUGGGUUGCGACCACGGUGGAAACUUCUCCAGUGACGUUGAUGGGUACCAAAGCUGAACCACGGUUUCAGGGCUUGGCUGGUCUGUUUUAGACAGCAGGAAACAGAGCUCCUAUCUGUUUGUUCCCUCCGCAAACACCUGCAGUGGGUGGGGUGAGGCCGGGCCGGAGCCGGGAGCCAGGAACUCCAUCCAGGUCUCCACCAGCCGUCACCUGCUGCCUCCUGGUGUGUGCAUUAGCAGGAAGCUGGAAUGCGAGUAGAACCAGGAAUCGAACCCAAGCACUGCCUAUGGGAUGUGGGCACCUUUACCACUUGGCCAAAAACACACCCGAACCACUGUUUUAAAGGGAGAAGACUCACAAAGACACCUCCUCAUCCUGUGGAUUUAUGUUUUCAUUAUAAUUGAAUUACUUGACUAAUAUUAUUAUAUUUGUACAAACUGACACUAGGUUGAAAAUUCCUUGUGCGUGUAGCUGAAUAUAAAAAAUUUACAAAUUAAAAACAGACUGAAAAGUUAAUAAAUUCAAGACAAUAUUAAUAGAUGGAUGUCAGGUUUAUUUUAUUUAUUUGAAAGAGUUAAAGAGAGAGGCAGAGGCAGAGAGAGAGGUCUUCCAUCUCCCCAAAUGGCUGCAACGGCUGGAGCUGAGCUGAGCUGAAGCCAGGAGCCUGGAGCCUGGAGCUUCCUCUGGGUCUCCCAUGUGGGUACAGGGGCCCAAGGACUUGAACCAUCUUCUCUGCUUUCCAAGGUGCAUUAGUUGGGAGCUGAAUCAGAAGUGGAGCAGCCGGGACCUGAAUGGGCACCCACACAGGGUGCUGGCAGCCCAGGCCGGGGCUUGAACCCGUGUGCCACAGCGCCAGCCCUGGAUGACAGAAUUUUGCUGAGGUUUUGGGCUUGCUGUUCCUCUACUAACUCCGUUACAGUGACCUUCCCUCUGUAUCAGUCUGGUCCACUUGGGAGAUAGGAGCCACACAGAUAAAGUUUAACUCCAGAAAUAAUUAAACUGUGAUAAAGGGUAUUAACUCCAGAAAUGAUAGGGCUCCCGAGCUGAGGGUGAGAACCCAAGGAAGGACUCAGGUGGAAGAGGCCCCCAAGGCUGAAGUUUGAGGAGGGUAUAGCUGCACACUGAUGGCCAAGCUCACAGACACGCGGUGGAAGUGGGGUGUCUGCGGUGUCCCAGUCAGGAGGGCUGUGUUACUGAAAGUACCACAGGGCACAGAUCUGGGGCUCACAGGGUCUGUGCUGGGGGGUCGUGAGAAGGUGCCCCAGACCGUGUCUGAGCUGCAAGGUGGCUGAGAAACCACCCAUGCUGGACCCAUGGCUGGGGCCAUCGCUAGGUGGUCUCACACCCGAAAGUUGGCCCCGCCGUGCAGCAGCCAGAAGCAGGAGGCCCCCUCCGGUGUCCUGCAGGUGCCCUGUACUGAGAAAGCUCCAUGCUGUGCCCACUCUGUCGUUAUCACAGAGCCCAUGUUGAAGGGCGAAUUUGGAGCUGAUGGCAGUGAGUGGAGAGCCAGGCUGCGUUGCGACAUUUCAGCCCUGAGUCGCAGGCGGCUGGGACCACUUCCACGCUGAGCUGCCCUGUGCUGACUCAGCACCCUACACCACUGACCAUGCCUUGUGGGGAUGUUUGCAGACAACAGGCUUAUCAAGCAUCACCUCUCCAGGCUGUGACUCGGCUGACAGACGUCCACAUUUUGGAGAUACCUUGAAUGACUGAUGAUGACCCUGAGACAACGGUGAGGAAUGCGGGUCUGGCCUGGCCGCCGUUGUACCCUUUCCCCCGCGCGAUGCCCAGCACGUGCAGGCUGAACACAGCAGCCAGCGGAGGCAGCCAGGACAUGAGGGCGCUUGGUGCAGUAGUGUGGGGUCCAUGUCCGUUUCCCACCUGCACUCGGAAUGUCCUCCUGAAUCCCAUGCACACACGCCGUCCAUGGCUCAAAACUUUCUGCAGCUAAUGUUCCUCAUGCUUGAUCUGAGACAGGUGGGGCUGGCAGUGACAGAGCGGUCUCUAGGAUGCACAGGUCUCUAAGACUCACAGGUCUCUAGGACGCACAGGUCUCUAGGACACACAGGUCUCUAGGAUGCACAGGUCUCUAAGACUCACAGGUCUCUAGGACGCACAGGUCUCUAGGACACACAGGUCUCUAGGACGCACAGGUCUCUAAGACUCACAGGUCUCUAGGACGCACAGGUCUCUAAGACUCACAGGUCUCUAGGAUGCACAGGUCUCUAGGAUGCACAGGUCUCUAG